GUGCCGAGAGAUAACAUCUCCACAAUAUUACUGCAGGUUAAAAGUGAAGGAUUACAACCACUAACGGAACCCAAACUUCGGAUAAAAAGACAAAAGGGUGGCUCCAUGUUUGAUAUAGGAAUGGACCAAAGUAAAGCGUUUCGAAUGUGG
Hyposmocoma kahamanoa is the source of this 150-nucleotide long non-coding RNA. RefSeq lists it as uncharacterized. The transcript has 3 exons. The record is from RefSeq and is a predicted model, not a curated record. NCBI's taxonomy places the organism in Eukaryota, Metazoa, Arthropoda, Insecta, Lepidoptera, Cosmopterigidae.